AGCUUGAACUCCAUUACCCAUUUUAGCUGGAUCCGUAACUGAUACUGAUAGAAAUGGGGCUUGUGAAGAUGGGGAUCUAGGGCUCUGUAAUGACCCUGAUCCACUCCUUUGCUGCACCAUUUUACAAUUUUCAAAAUCAAUCAAAACUACAAAUUACAAAAAUUAGAGUACAAAAAAGAAAGUAAGAUUCGUGAUAAUGGCGGAAAGAUAAUUACCAUAGUGUUCAUAGCUGUUUUGCUGGUUAGAUUACCGGAGAACGGUGCGAAGAUGUGUAGAACUGUCAACUCGCGACUCGUGAAUCGUGACUUUGGCCUUUUAGUGAGGAGUCGUACACAUGUGGAACAUAUGAAGAGUCUUAAUUGUCAUUUUUACAAAUUUCACAAACACCAAUUUCAAUCGGAUACUGUUUUUU
This 412-nucleotide long non-coding RNA is filed under the name Nicotiana tabacum (common tobacco). RNAcentral's name for it is "long non-coding RNA (NTAB_LNC005949)". Lineage: Eukaryota; Viridiplantae; Streptophyta; Magnoliopsida; Solanales; Solanaceae. The record is from RNAcentral.